This 106-nucleotide unclassified non-coding RNA is filed under the name Schmidtea mediterranea. RNAcentral's name for it is "trans-spliced leader sequence 2". The record is from RNAcentral. Lineage: Eukaryota; Metazoa; Platyhelminthes; Tricladida; Dugesiidae.
GCCGUUAGACGGUCUUAUCGAAAUCUAUAUAAAAAUUAUAUGGUGAGGACCGUUUGCCAGCAUUAGUUGGCUAAUUUUUGACAGUAGCUUGCAUGCAAGUGACUAU